RNAcentral lists this ribosomal RNA (432 nucleotides) under uncultured bacterium. RNAcentral describes it as "partial 16S ribosomal RNA". It matches the Rfam family "Bacterial small subunit ribosomal RNA", at positions 28 to 507 of the family's 1533-position model. The record is from RNAcentral.
GAUGAACGCUGGCGGUAUGCUUAACACAUGCAAGUCGAACGGUCACUUCGGUGAUAGUGGCGGACGGGUGAGUAACGCGUGAGAAUCUGUCCUCAGGUCGGGGACAACAGUUAGAAAUGACUGCUAAUACCGGAUGUGCCUUUGGGUGAAAGAUUUAUUGCCUGAAAAAGAGCUCGCGUCAGAUUAGCUAGUAGGUGGUGUAAGAGACUACCUAGGCUCCGAUCUGUAGCUGGUCUGAGAGGACGAUCAGCCACACUGGAACUGAGACACGGUCCAGACUCCUACGGGAGGGAGCAGUGGGGGAUUUUCCGCAGUGGGCGGAAGCCUGACGGAGCAAUGCCGCGUGAGGGACGAAGGCUUUUGGGUAGUAAACCUCUUUUCUCAAGGAAGAUGAUGACGGUACUUGAGGAAUAAGCAUCGGCUAACUCUGUG